This 172-nucleotide ribosomal RNA is filed under the name uncultured bacterium. RNAcentral describes it as "partial 16S ribosomal RNA". It matches the Rfam family "Bacterial small subunit ribosomal RNA", at positions 1326 to 1500 of the family's 1533-position model. The record is from RNAcentral.
CCGGAAUUGCUAGUAAUGGCAGGUCAGCAUACUGCCGUGAAUACGUUCCCGGGCCUUGUACACACCGCCCGUCACACCAUGAGAGUUGGGAAUACCCGAAGCCUGUGAGCUAACGUAAGAGGCAGCAGUCGAAGGUAGAAUCAAUGAUUGGGUGAAGUCGUAACAAGGUAGC